Molecule: long non-coding RNA, 2334 nt
Filed under: Nicotiana benthamiana
Lineage: Eukaryota; Viridiplantae; Streptophyta; Magnoliopsida; Solanales; Solanaceae
Description: long non-coding RNA (NBEN_LNC016388)
Source: RNAcentral
CUAAGCCCAAUUACACCAACCCCGGUCUGCCCCAUCCACUUACUCAAAAUGACGGUGUUUUGUCGUCAAGCCAUCACAGCCGUUCAUUGCUCUUGAUCCAGCGGUCGAGGGCCACUCUUGCAAAAAUAAUAAGAGUGUCAGUCGUUUUAAUUAAUUCAAAAAGACAAGAAGCAUCUUCCUCGUAUCUUCUCCUCCUUGCCGGAACCCUCGCCGGCGGCAAAUGCAACCCACUACAAAGACCAUCGGAAAAACACCACUGAUACCCAUUCCUCUCCUCUUUCCAACCCACACACUGUCAUCUCUCGAAUCUUCCCCCAAGACCUUGAAUAUCCAUUUAAAAUUUUCUGGCAAAAAUGCAAAGUAUGCCAAACACCACAAAAAUAACACCCCAUGACCGCCUGAACCUCCUCUACCCAACCCCCAUUUAUGUUUGGUUUUGGUUGAGUUUAUUGUUAUGUUUAGUUGUCGUCCUGCUCGUAAUUGUCCUUUCCUUUUCUUUGUUGAUUAGAAUAGUUUAAUCGUGUUUUGGGGUUUUGAUUAAUCUGAUGUUUGAUUUUAGUUCUUGGCAAUAGCUUUUAGCUUUUGUUUUGUUAAUGAAAGUUGUUAGGUUAGUCUGUUAAUCAGGAAAAUGGAAAUUAAGGUUGUAACGACACGGUUAGUUUUGGGAAGGGGUAAGGAUAGGAUAGGGAUAUACCUUAGGGAAUCUAGAAGAAAUUCCUAAAAUUCUCGAGGUGGGGUAUUAAAUGACAAGUCAAGAAAUGAGAGGGAGUAAAAAAAAUAAUUUAGGGGAGGGGCUAAAUAGAAAUAAAAAUUGAUGGUUUGCCUAUAAAUAGGCAUUCAUUUACCUUGUUGGGGGGAGGGGGACUGCUGGAGAAGAAAAAUCACUGUUUCAUAGCCAUUGCUAGUUUUAAAAUACUCCUUCCAUUCUGAAAUUUAGAUCUGCAACAAGCCUCGAAAUCAAAAACAAAAAAAAAGGAGAAAACAAAGACAAUUUCAAAAUUGUAUUUUUCCAUUGAUUUGUUUUUGUAAAACUCAAGGUUUAGGUCUAUUGGACUUGUUGACUAGUUGUUCUAUUGCUGAAGGUAUUCUAGGUCGCCUGGGUUUAAUUGUGAGUAUAUUGGGUUGGAUUUAAGUGUUUUCGUUAUUCUGUCAUCUUCUGAAAUCUUCAUGGGCUGUCAAAUGCAUUUCUGAGCUAAACCUGGGCUGAUUGGUGGUGCGUGAGUUUCAAUUGUUGGUUGUUGUGAGUUGUUGCCUAUUCUUCUGUUGCUAAUAUCUCUUCCUGUUCAUUAUAUUUCCAGGUAUAUCUCCCAAUCUCCUAUGAAUUGUGAAGGAACCUUGUAAAUGUCAUGUUGAAGAAUUAAAACUGAGGAAUAGAGUGGAAUUUGCUCUUGAAGUUUUUAUGUUGUGUUUUCAUUUCAUAUAUGUGGGACAUUUUGCUUGGUGGAUGACUUGUAUAAUUUGGACUCACAGUUGGUCAAAUCUGUUAAUUAGAUUAUUGCUUAGCAUCAUUAUAAGGUAAUUUGUUAAUCAGUUUAAGCUGAAAGUAAGGUUUGUAUUGAUCAAUUGAUUAUUGGCUUUCAACUUUCGAUUAGUUAGAUUGAUUCCAUUGAUAUCCUUUUAAUUGAUCGCCUAAGUAUGUGUUUAAAUGUGUUAUUCUCAAUAUUAAUAUUAGAACUUAAGUAUUAUAAGUUGCAGAAUAUGAAUUUACCACUUGAAAAUCCAUGCUUGUUGAAACAAAGGUAAUUUUUGGAUUAAGAGAGUUUCGAUCGCCUAUACAAGUUGUUAGUCGUUCCCUGAUCAAUUUUUCGGUGUUUGUUCCUAAUAUUCUCAUGUCAAAAUAGUCUUCAGUAUUUUAUUUCUUAUUGCUUUGUUGAAAUUUGAUGGGAGUUUGGGCUCACAUGAAGUGGACGUGAAAGGUUGGGCCAACGGUUGGCAUUAAGGCCCAAGGCCUUUGCAUUCAGGGACAAGGACAAACAAAUAACCUUAAGCCUUGUCCCUAACUCGAUCCUAGGUAUAGUAGCUUUUUCUAUCUGAGCCUUCUUUGACCUAUGUCAGGCUGUGUCGAAUGGUCCGUUUCUGAAGCCCACCAGGUGGUCCAACUCGUUGUUUGAGUUUGGACUACUGAAUUUUAAUUCGUAAAUUUCACUUGGUAAUUCAAGUCACGUGUAAUUGGUUUUUUCUUCUUUUAGAGACAUGUGAUUAAUAGAAAAUUGUAGUCACUCCUAAGUUUGCCUUUUAAUAAAUGAUGAGACGGCUUCGCAAAAUAAAUAAAUAAAUGGCGGGGCCCUCAAUUAUUGUUUACCAAAAUACUUAAAUUUGGGAGGGCCGCUUAGC